Pseudocercospora fijiensis CIRAD86 is the source of this 74-nucleotide transfer RNA. It matches the Rfam family "tRNA". From Rfam's summary of the family: Transfer RNA (tRNA) molecules are approximately 80 nucleotides in length. The record is from Rfam. NCBI's taxonomy places the organism in Eukaryota, Fungi, Ascomycota, Dothideomycetes, Mycosphaerellales, Mycosphaerellaceae.
GUUGCCCUGGUGUAGUUGGUCAUCACGUCAGUCUAACACACUGAAGGUCGCCGGUUCAAGUCCGGCGGGCAAUA